This 820-nucleotide ribosomal RNA is filed under the name uncultured Geothrix sp. RNAcentral describes it as "bacterial SSU rRNA". It matches the Rfam family "Bacterial small subunit ribosomal RNA", at positions 35 to 851 of the family's 1533-position model. Lineage: Bacteria; Pseudomonadati; Acidobacteriota; Holophagae; Holophagales; Holophagaceae. The record is from RNAcentral.
GUUUGGCGGGUGCUACCAUGCAAGUCGGAUGUGCCGCAAGGUGCAUGGCAGACGGGUGAGUAACGCGUAGGGAAUCUACCUCUUUGUGGGGAAUAACGCUCCGAAAGGAGUGGUAAUACCGCAUGAGACCGUGGACUGGGAUGUUUACGGUGAAACCUGGGGACCGCAAGGCCUGGGGCAAGGAGAGGAUCCUGCGUCUGAUUAGCUAGUUGGCGGGGUAAUGGCCCACCAAGGCGACGAUCAGUAGCCGGCCUGAGAGGGUGAUCGGCCACACUGGAACUGAGACACGGUCCAGACUCCUACGGGAGGCAGCAGUGGGGAAUUUUGCGCAAUGGACGAAAGUCUGACGCAGCAACGCCGCGUGGGUGAUGAAGGUCUUCGGACUGUAAAACCCUGUCGUCAGGGACGAAGGUUGGGGGGUUAAUAACCCUUCAGCUUGACGGUACCUGGAGAGGAAGCCCCGGCUAACUCUGUGCCAGCAGCCGCGGUAAUACAGAGGGGGCAAGCGUUAUUCGGAAUUAUUGGGCGUAAAGGGCGCGUAGGCGGUUUUUUAAGUCAGAUGUGUAAUCCCCGAGCUCAACUUGGGAACUGCAUCUGAGACUGGAAGGCUAGAGUACUGGAGAGGGUGGUGGAAUUCCUCGUGUAGCGGUGAAAUGCGUAGAGAUGAGGAGGAACACCAGUGGCGAAGGCGGCCACCUGGACAGUAACUGACGCUGAGGCGCGAAAGUGUGGGUAGCAAACAGGAUUAGAUACCCUGGUAGUCCACGCUGUAAACGAUGAACACUUGGUGUGGAGGGAGUUGACCCCUUCCGUGCCGGAG